AUUGAACGCUGGCGGAAUGCUUUACACAUGCAAGUCGAACGGCAGCACGGACUUCGGUCUGGUGGCGAGUGGCGAACGGGUGAGUAAUGUAUCGGAACGUGCCCAGUCGUGGGGGAUAACGUAGUGAAAAUUACGCUAAUACCGCAUACGAUCUAUGGAUGAAAGCGGGGGAUCGCAAGACCUCGCGCGAUUGGAGCGGCCGAUAUCAGAUUAGGUAGUUGGUGGGGUAAAGGCCCACCAAGCCAACGAUCUGUAGCUGGUCUGAGAGGACGACCAGCCAGACUGGAACUGGGACACGGUCCAGACUCAUACGGGAGGCAGCAGUGGGGAAUUUUGGACAAUGGGCGAAAGCCUGAUCCAGCCAUUCCGCGUGCAGGAUGAAGGCCCUCGGGUUGUAAACUGCUCUUGUACAGAACGAAAAGGUUUCUACUAAUACUAGGAGCUCAUGACGGUACUGUAAGAAUAAGCACCGGCUAACUACGUGCCAGCAGCCGCCGUAA
Molecule: ribosomal RNA, 500 nt
Filed under: uncultured bacterium
Lineage: Bacteria
Description: partial 16S ribosomal RNA
Rfam family: Bacterial small subunit ribosomal RNA
Source: RNAcentral